Molecule: ribosomal RNA, 254 nt
Filed under: uncultured bacterium
Lineage: Bacteria
Description: partial 16S ribosomal RNA
Rfam family: Bacterial small subunit ribosomal RNA
Source: RNAcentral
UACGGGGGGGGGCAAGCGUUGUUCGGAAUUACUGGGCGUAAAGCGUGUGUAGGCGGUCUCUUAAGUCGGAUGUGAAAGCCCCGGGCUCAACCCGGGAAGUGCACUCGAAACUGGGAGGCUAGAGUACUGGAGAGGUUGGUGGAAUUCUCGGUGUAGAGGUGAAAUUCGUAGAUAUCGAGAGGAACACCGGUGGCGAAGGCGGCCAACUGGACAGAUACUGACGCUGAGACACGAAAGCGUGGGGAGCAAACAGG